UACGUAGGGACCAAGCGUUGUUCGGAUUUACUGGGCGUAAAGGGCGCGUAGGCGGCCCCACAAGUCACUUGUGAAAUCUCCGGGCUUAACUCGGAACGGCCAAGUGAAACUGUGGAGCUAGAGUGUGGAAGGGGCAAUCGGAAUUCUUGGUGUAGCGGUGAAAUGCGUAGAUAUCAAGAGGAACACCUGAGGUGAAGACGGGUUGCUGGGCCAACACUGACGCUGAGGCGCGAAAGCCAGGGGAGCAAAC
Molecule: ribosomal RNA, 250 nt
Filed under: uncultured bacterium
Lineage: Bacteria
Description: partial 16S ribosomal RNA
Rfam family: Bacterial small subunit ribosomal RNA
Source: RNAcentral